RNAcentral lists this long non-coding RNA (1833 nucleotides) under Capra hircus (goat). RNAcentral's name for it is "lncRNA (ENSCHIG00010001413.1)". Lineage: Eukaryota; Metazoa; Chordata; Mammalia; Artiodactyla; Bovidae. The record is from RNAcentral.
CCAGUACGUUCUGUACAACUCAGUAGUUCUGAAUUAUUGAUACUUAGGUAUUUACUCAAAAGAAAUGAAACAUACAUCCACAUAAAGUAUGUGAAUGUUUACAGUAGCAGUAUUCUACCAACAAGCAGAAAAAACCCAAAUGUCUCUCAACUAAUAAAUGCUAACAAAUGUCUUUCAACUAAUAAAAAUAACAUGGAGUAAAUUCAUACAAUGGAAUACCAUUUAGCAAUGAAAAGGAAAAAAUACAGCAUAGAUGAACGUCAAAAAUAUCAGUGAAAGAUAUCAGAUAUAAAAGAACACAUUGUAGGAGUCCAUGUAACUGAAUUGUUCAGAAAAAUACAAAUCUAUAAAAACAGGAAGAAGAUAAGUAAUUGCCUAGGAUUGGCAGUAAAGAUAGAGAUUAACAGCAAAUGGCAUGAGGGUCUCCUCAGGAUUAUCCAAAUAUUCUAAUAUUGGAAGUGGUAAUGGUUGCACAACUCAGUAGGUUUACUAAAAAUCAGUACAUUAUCCACUUAAAAGGUUGUGGAUUUUGUAGUUUGUAAUUUAUAUGUCAAAAAGCUAUUUAAAUAUAUAAGGUUAUUAACUGCAGUAUCAAGGGUAGAAAACAAAGAGAAGUCCGAAAUGGUUGGGAGAAUCAGAAAAAAAAGUAAAUACUAGAAGUCUUAAUGUGGCCGAAGAGUUGUUGUGAAAGUGAGAGAUUUGGGGAGUUGGCUUUAAAGUUUCAGAAAUGACAGACUCUGGAUUUAUUUACAAAUAAGAAAAAUUAAAGGAUAAGUGUAUUUCAAACAAUUUACAGAAGAUUCACAAUAGGAAUCNNNNNNNNNNNNNNNNNNNNNNNNNNNNNNNNNNNNNNNNNNNNNNNUGGAAUAUUGGAGUUAUACACAUGCAUGCAUGCUGAGUUGCUUCAGUCAUGUCCAGCUCUUUGCAACCUUAUGGACCGCAGCCUGCUAGGCUCCUCUAUCCAUGGGGUUCUCCAAGCAAGAACAGUGGAGUGGGUUGCCAUUCCCUCUUUACAUAAAGUGAAGUACACCUAUAUUUCACACUGUUUUUUAAUAUCUAUUUUACAGGUUUUCAAAAGUUAAUUUCCAUUCUCAAAAGACACUUUAGUCUAAAUAGCAGAUGUGCUGAGCUAACUGAGGCAAACCACAGAUACUCCUCCUCCUCAUCCCUUUGCAAGAGACAGGUUGGAAAUGAUGUCAGGGAAAAUACAAAGCAUGAAGAACACUUUGUUGCAGGCUAGGUGAUUGAACCGGAUCGCAAUUAAACAAAUGAGAGGAUAAUUUAAAAAGAGCAAAGUGAAUCAAAGACAUAGUUCAUUAAUCUCUUGAAAGUUCCUUUUGGGCUCCACAGGUUAAGACGAUUACAUCUGAGUAGCUAAAGCUCAAGCUUCUUUUUCUUACCACCUUAAGAGAGAAUACUAUAAGCUCCUUGUCUUUAUCCACAGCAAACUCAAAGUUUUAUGUUCUAGUAGAUACUUUUUAAAUAAUCAGUAAACUAGUUUAAAACGAGCCUUUAGUAAGGCAACAAAAUCAUUGAACUCUACAACUUUGGGUUUGAUUUUAUUUCCACCUGAUUGCUCUUUGCCAUGCAAUGCACCUACUACUGAGAGCAUUAAUAAAACAAGUAAUUACCUUUAUUCAUCAGUGACAAACUUUAUUUACAUUGUGUCUAGUUAUAUGGUUACUUUCAAAAUUUUUAGUAUGCUACUUUUAAAAAUAAAUCAGAUCCCAUACUCCCAAUUAAGAGAAGGCAAUAGCACCCCACUCCAAUAGUCUUGCCUGGAAAAAUCCCAUGGAUGGAAGAGCCUGGUAGGCUGCAGUCCAUGCUAAGGGU